This 381-nucleotide ribosomal RNA is filed under the name uncultured eukaryote. RNAcentral's name for it is "SSU rRNA". It matches the Rfam family "Eukaryotic small subunit ribosomal RNA", at positions 587 to 972 of the family's 1831-position model. The record is from RNAcentral.
AGCUCCAAUAGCGUAUAUUAAAGUUGUUGCGGUUAAAAAGCUCGUAGUUGGAUUUCUGCUGAGGACGACCGGUCCGCCCUCCGGGUGAGCAUCUGGCUCGGCCUGAGCAUCUUCCUGGAGAAUGCUGCUGCACUUCACUGUGUGGCGCGGUAUCCAGGACUUUUACUUUGAGGAAAUUAGAGUGCUUCAAGCAGGCACACGCCUUGAACACGUGAGCAUGGAAUAAUGUGAUAGGACCUCGGUUCUAUUUUGUUGGUUUCUAGAACUGAGGUAAUGAUAAAUAGGGACAGUUGGGGGCAUUCGUAUUUAACUGUCAGAGGUGAAAUUCUUGGAUUUGUUAAAGACGGACCACUGCGAAAGCAUUUGCCACGGAUGUCUUCA